UUGAAUGAACCUUAUUCUCCUGCUAGAAAGAAGGGUUUUCUGGGACUUAUACAAUUUAAAAGCAAAUUAAAACACUUGUGUCUGUCCUAAGUUGAUUGCAAAGCAAAAUGUUUUUAUGGUAGUGUAAUUAAAAAGAGAAAGCUUUCUUAUUUAGUUAGUUUUAAUUGGACAAUUCAGAAAAGCCAUCUAGAGUUGGGUAGUCCCUAGAGCAGAGGUUUGUAAGCAGAUAAUAAAUAGGUUAGCUGCUAGGAUCAUGAUAGAUGAGCAGCAACUCAGAUAUAAUCUGAAACUGUUAGUUCCUUAUCAGCACUUGUGUUAUAGAAGGUUUUCACUUGAGAAUUUUGGGGUCUUUUUUUGUUUGUUUGUUUGGUUGGUUGGUUGGUUGGUUUUUUGUUUUAAUUACUUGGUUAGCAUGAGCUGCUUAGAUUUGUUACAUAAAACCUUAUGUGUACAAGGAUCAUUGACUUAACUGACAGUAUAAAUUUGUCAAAGUCAUUCUGUGGCUUUGCAUCUUUCACAUAUUUUGUUGGUUUGGUCUUUAGACCAUUUGGCAGCUUGAACCUCUGCUGUGAUAGGAAAAGAUCUCAUAUUAAAGUGGAUCAUGGAGAGAAGUUUUGAGUUUAGCUUUUUUUUUAGUCCUCACUUUUUAUCAGUCUUAAGUUUAAAGUUUUAAGACUAUCUUUAUUCAGACUCAUUUUUUAAAAAAGUUUAUCCCUUUAAAAAUUAAUAAAAUCCAUAAUUUAAUAUCACAGCAGAAUCUGUCUUCAAGUUUUUACCUUUUCUGUUCUGCUAUCAAAGUCUAACUUUACUUUUUAUUCCUCUAGUCUUUUAGUUUUUUCUUUCUUAUAUUUAAAAAUAGUCCUAAUACUCUAAUUUCAUAUUUUUCAUGCUGUGCCUGCAGCUUUAAGUUAUGGUUUGAGUAGUAAUCUUUUGGCUUGGGGUUGGGAAGAUGAAUUUUUUUUAACAUAAAAAGUAAUAUUAGAUGUGUUAUAAAUGUGAGAAGACAGCUUGUGGAAAUAAAUCCUUGGGAAAGCACUUAGAUUGAAUCAUUGAACUCUGAAAUGGAUUUACUGGAAAGUUGGUGCUACUAUUUUUCUAGGCACUCUACUUGUGACAGUUAAGUGUAGAUUGAGCCCAGGGCUCAGCACAUUAGAGACUUACUUAAGGAAGAAAUCAUUUCUUCAAUUUUUCCUCUGCAGUGGUGGUGACCGCGGUGGCUUCAAAAAUUUUGGUGGUAAGUGCUGAGUAUCCCAAAAUGUUUCAGUGGAAAUGCUAUAUAAAUCUAAAAGCCACCAAUAUCCCGCAGAUGCAGUCUAAGCCCUUCUUACUCUGUUGAGGCUCGUGUGUUGUGUGCAUUACAAAGUACUCUCUGUAUACACUCUUAUAUCCAAGUACAUAUUAAAAGCCAAAUCUGAUCUCAAGUAGUCCAAUGCGUUCUCUACACAGUGUAUUGCAUGAAAGAGUCUGUGACCGAUGAAUGAGGAAUUCACUGGGUUUUGACAAUAGGGUUUUUUUUCCUUUUAUAAAGGUAGCUGACGUGGUGUUUUAAAUUAUUAGGGGUUUCCAAUCAGCCUUACAACAGUGCUUGACAGAAGUGAUACUAGAAUAAUAACAAAAGUGGGUGCUGUCUUGGACAAGGCUAAAGAAAUGUUGGCAUUCGUCUUGAUUUCCUAAACUUUAAAUAAUAAACAUUUAUGUAGUUAUUUUUAAACCUGUGAUGGUUGACUUUCAAGGAUAUUAAGUUCUGACUUUACAUGCUUUGGUUAUUACCGUUUCCUUUUUAAUUUCAAAUAAGUUGUCUUAGACAGCCUUUCCUUUUCUUCUCCCAUAGGUCACAGGGAUUAUGGACCCAGACCAGAUGCUGGUAAGAUUCUUGAUAGUUUGGUUUCCUACCUCUGGAAGAGGAAUUAAUGUGUUUGGAGGGAGGUUUAAUUUAAUUUAAUUUAAUUUAAUUUAAUUUAAUGGUGCUGCCAGAUCUGGGGAAUUUGACUUAAAAUAAUAAUUUAGUGAUCUGAUUAGAAAGCUUGCUGGAGAAACUGCUGUGUUUGUGCUUUGUUGCUUGAAGAAACAUUCAAAUUUGUUCUGCUAAUAAGCAUUAAUGCAGUCUAAAGAGAAAUUUGUUAUCUUAGCAAUGUAGAGGUAAAAAGCUGUUUAAAUCUUUCAUUGAAUUAGUUUUAAUGGGCAUAAGAAAGUUGUUCAUGUACAAGGGAAUUGUCUUUCUCCGGGUAGAAGUUACUAAUUUUAUGUAGCGUUUCAUUUUUAGAUGAAUUAAAGGCUAUAGACUUGCUUUUGGAGCCUUUUGAAAGUUAGGAUUUAGAGGUUAAAAUCUAUUUGAGUAAAAAUAUUUAAUAUAUAUUGAAAUCAGAACUUUUGUUUUUAUUAAGAUGCCAAAGUAUUCUAUAUGGAUGGCAAUUUCUGAAUUAUCCCUUGAUGGACUGAAUUUUUAUACAACUUUCUUACUUUGUUGUACUAAUCCAAAAGUGUGCGUGUAAGGUAAGGUGUGUGUACCAGGUGCUCUUACCUUCUGAUAUAUACAAGGCUUUUUGCAGUGAAUGGGAAACCAGCAAUUCUGCUUGGCUGGCUGGCUUGAGUGUCAAGUCUCCAAUUUGGGGGAAUUGUAUACUAGAAAGCCUUUUAAAAGUAUUGAUUUGUCAGACGUAUGACUAUAUAAUUGAAAGUUCUUCAGAGAAAGGUAUGCUAAUUAACCUUCUUCAUCUCUUCAUGAGCUUUAGUCCUGGAUCUGAAGAGUGAUAUUUUUAACAUCGCCCUUUAUUGGUCUUUAUGUAUUUCAGAGUAACCUGCACUUUACCUGUAGUUUUGUUGUAAGAAUUGAUCUUCCAUACAACUACUGUGAACACUUUGCAUGUUUAUAUAAGGCUAUAUGUUGGUCCUUAUAUUUGGUGCUUAGAAGCAGUCCAUUACUAGUCAAUAAAUUGUUUUUGAUUACCGAACAGGAUGUAGUAAUUUAAGGGAUAUGUUUAUGAAAUUGACCAUAACUUUUCCUCCUUAGAUUCAGAGUCUGAUAAUUCAGAUAACAACACAAUCUUUGUGCAAGGACUUGGGGAGGGUGUGUCUACAGAUCAAGUGGGAGAGUUCUUUAAGCAAAUAGGAAUUAUCAAGGUAAGUUAAAAGUGUCACAUUGAAGAUUUCAUAAUUGUUAAUAUUCACAUAAGAUACAUACAUUGCAUUGUAAGUCUAUAUACCCUAGUAAGCAUUAUCUAAAUCCUUUAAUGCAUGUACUUCCCAAAGUCUGUAGGCCUUUGCUAAGUGUCUUAUUUAGCUUUCUAUUGCUGUUAUAGACUAUUCUGGCCAAAAGAAACUUGAGGAGGAAAGGGUUUAUUUUUUUUUUUGGCUUAUCUUAGUCCAUCAUUGAAGGAAGUCAGGGCAGGAACUGAAGUAGAGACCAUGGAGGAACACACUUACUUGCUUGUUUCUCAUGGUUUGCUCAGCAUGCUUUCUUAGACCAUGCAGGAUCAUCUCUUCAGAGGUGGCAGUGUCUCCAGUGGGCUGAGCCCUCCCACGUCAGUCAUCAACCAAUCUGGUGGAAGCAUUUUCUCAAUUGCUGUCCUCUUUCCAGAUGAUUUUAGCUAAAGUCAAGUUUC
This 3602-nucleotide long non-coding RNA is filed under the name Mus musculus (house mouse). RNAcentral describes it as "long non-coding RNA chr11:83496062-83499664". The record is from RNAcentral. Lineage: Eukaryota; Metazoa; Chordata; Mammalia; Rodentia; Muridae.